Molecule: long non-coding RNA, 271 nt
Organism: Pollicipes pollicipes
Lineage: Eukaryota; Metazoa; Arthropoda; Thecostraca; Pollicipedomorpha; Pollicipedidae
Exons: 3
Source: RefSeq, a predicted model, not a curated record
GCUGCGGGAGCUGCGAGCUCAGCUGGCCGACGAGGAAGACGUCAGCGCCACCGACUGGGAAGCCCACCUGGAGGCGGUGGCCGCCUGCGCCCGCCUGGCCGCCAUGGAAACGGCCGUGCGCCAGCUGAACGCCGAAGUGGCCUCGCUGGCCGAGACGAGAACGGCGCUCGAGCAGCGGUACGCCACCAUACUGCGCAACCAGGAGACGAUUGACAAAAACAAAUCGCACAUCCAACUGCUGGUGGCGCUGGGGCGCGACUCGCUGGCGCUG